This 467-nucleotide ribosomal RNA is filed under the name uncultured bacterium. RNAcentral's name for it is "partial 16S ribosomal RNA". It matches the Rfam family "Bacterial small subunit ribosomal RNA", at positions 28 to 507 of the family's 1533-position model. The record is from RNAcentral.
GACGAACGCUGGCGGCGUGCUUAACACAUGCAAGUCGAACGGUGAAGCUCCAGCUUGCUGGAGUGGAUCAGUGGCGAACGGGUGAGUAACACGUGAGCAACCUGCCCCUGACUCUGGAAUAAGCGCUGGAAACGGCGUCUAAUACUGGAUACGAGAAGGGUCCGCAUGGGCACUUUCUGGAAAGUUUUUCGGUUGGGGAUGGGCUCGCGGCCUAUCAGCUUGUUGGUGAGGUAAUGGCUCACCAAGGCGACGACGGGUAGCCGGCCUGAGAGGGCGACCGGCCACACGGGAACUGAGACACGGCCCAGAUCCUAACGGGAGGAAGCAGGGGGAAUAUUGCACAAUGGGCGAAAGCCUGAUGCAGCGACGCCGCGUGAGGGAUGACGGCCUUCGGGUUGUAAACCUCUUUCAGCAGGGAAGAAGCGAAAGUGACGGUACCUGCAGAAGAAGCACCGGCUAACUACGUG